UACGGGGGGUGCGAGCGUUGUCCGGAAUCACUGGGCGUAAAGGGCGCGUAGGUGGUUUGAUAAGGGUGUGGUGAAAGUCCGGGGCUCAACCCCGGAUCUGCCGUGCCGACUGUCAAACUCGAGGACUGUAGAGGCAGACGGAAUUCCGGGUGUAGCGGUGGAAUGCGUAGAUAUCGGAAGGAACACCAGUGGCGAAAGCGGCUUCCUGGUCCAGCACCGACGUUCAGGCACGAAGGCCAGGGGAGCAAACGGG
This 253-nucleotide ribosomal RNA is filed under the name uncultured bacterium. RNAcentral's name for it is "partial 16S ribosomal RNA". It matches the Rfam family "Bacterial small subunit ribosomal RNA", at positions 524 to 776 of the family's 1533-position model. The record is from RNAcentral.